Molecule: long non-coding RNA, 345 nt
Organism: Coffea arabica (coffee)
Lineage: Eukaryota; Viridiplantae; Streptophyta; Magnoliopsida; Gentianales; Rubiaceae
Source: RefSeq, a predicted model, not a curated record
UUGCAGGAAAAAGAUGAAAACUUUUAUGGGAUGCAAAUGCAAGUACUUGUGGAUAUAUUCCAUCCUUUUCUGUCCUCCAAAGAGUGAGGAAGAAAAGGAAGAACAACCUCUGUGAAAUUUGUGGAGGAUGGCAAAAAAUUGUGGUAUAAACUUGUUGAAAAAAGGAUGAGAGGCAUUGGCAGUGUGAGGAGGGACGUAAAAGAAAAGAAGAAAGGUGUGCGAAAAAGUGCAAGUUGAAAUACUGAUACUGAAAUCAUUAUGGUCAUUACUGUAAUGAUUAAAAUGUUAAGAAAAAGCUAGAGAUUGAGUUUCAAGAAAAGACCCUUGGGUUACUUGGCGCUAAGA